CAGAGUAUUACCAAAAUUUACAGAUCAUUUAACAGAAAUUUCACUUGUAACAACAUAUAAAAGAUAGUCACGCUUUUACAUAUCAUGAUAGAUAUAAUUCUUUUGCUGUUUCUUUAUAAACAUUUAUUAUUCAUUUCAUUAUAUCAAUUUUUUUCACGUACCAUCAUUUCCAUAUAAUUCAGGUAUAUACCGGUGAUAAUUCAUUUCAAACUCAUAUUAUCUCAUAUCAGAACCUUACCCCUUGAAUCAUUUAAAUAUCAAUGGGUACACUUAAUUCAGCUCAAUAUCAAUAAUAACCAUAAGCCUACAAAUACUAAUUUCAUAUGUCACUUAUCAAUCUUUGUCAAAUUAGAGAACGUCUUACGAAUUUGAGUCUGUCAUUUGCUCAGUGCCACGAUUCACCACUCGGUAUGGGAAAUGCCAUACCUACAUUUCUUAACUCAGUAUGGAUAAUACCAUACCUAUAUUUCUCAACUCGGUAUGGAUGAUACCAUACCUACAUUUCACAACUCGGUAUGGAUAAUACCAUACCUACAUUUCGCACUUUGCCAUGGAUCAACCAUUGUCUUUUCCAUCAAUUCAUCUUGUCACUGAAAAUACUCAAUUUGAUCGUUUAUUCAAUUUUCACGCUCUUACAUUAUUCACAAUUUUAUCAUCAAUUCAUAUGAAAUAACACAUCAUGAAAUUCAUAAAAUUAACAAACGGUCACUAAAAUUUAGUUAUACAAACUCACUAGUACGAUUUUUGUAUUAUAACGAUAAUCAUAAUUUCAUAUUAAAUAUUCCAAAUAAAACAUUAUAUCCUUUCUAAUUCAACAUUUAUCGAUUAUAAUCGGGCACGUGAUCAAUUUAUACACAAGUCAUUCAUAUAUAAAUGUAUAUUUUCCUCCUCCUCCUCUCCAUCCACAUCCUUAGUAUAAACAACACACUUAUAGGUAACAUUAUCCAUAAUUUUCACUAUCUACUUAUGUGAAUAUUCACGCUGUCCAUCUGUGUUAUAGUUACUAAAUUAUUUUUAUCUUGAGCUACAGAAUUCCAAAUUAAGAUCCAUAAAUUUUCCCAGAAACUAGACUCAUAUGUCUUCUUACCAUAAAAUUUUCAUAAUUUUUGGUUUAGCCAAUUAGUACAGUUUAUUCAUUUAAGUUUCCCCUGUUUCACUAUCCAACAGUUCUGAUCUCUCUUCACUAAAAAUUAAUUAUAUCACAGUACAGAACUCGGAUAAUGUUCCCGUUGAUUUCUAUUGAAAAUAGACUCGUCAAAGAUUCUAAGCAUAUAAAUUUGAGCCUCUAAUUAAUUUUCUCCAAUUUUUGGUGAUUUUCUAAAUUUAAAACAGGGGAAUCUGAAUUCAUUCUGACCUUGUCUCACAAAACUCAUUAUAGCACAUAAUUUACAAUUCAAUUGCUUACACCGUUUCUUCUAUGAGAAACUAGACUCAAUAAGCUUUAAUUUCAUAUAUUAUUCAUCCUAUAAUUCGAUUUUUAAAAUUUAUGGUGAUUUUGCAAAAUUAGCCUACUGCUGCUGUCCAAAACUGUUUUAGUUCAAGAUGUUUAUUACCAUUCUUCCUCUAAAUUUCACAGGUCAUACAAUUCAGUCCUUGCUCAAUUAGCUCAUCUAAUAAGCUAAUUUUUCUCAAUUAACAUUUUAUUCCAUCAUUCUAAACUAUUACACAACCUUUGAAAAUUAGAAUUUUAACACUAAACCUUAAUUCACAACUUUCUCAUAAUUAGGUCCUAAAAUCAAUUUCUAUUGAAAUUACUUGAUAAAAUCAUCAAACAAUAAAAUCAAAGCUUCAAAUUCAUUUUAAUUCAUCAUAAACAGCCAACACUUGUCAAUGAUAACUUUUAAUUUUGUCCAUAAAAUAAAAAACUAAUGAAUUAAACACUUGGACUUAAUUGUAAAAGUCACAAAAACAUAAAAAUCUCAAAGAAAAGGGCAAGAAUUGAACUCACAUAUGUCAAAGUAUGAAAAACCAGCGGCUUUCAGACCUUCCAUGGCGUUUUUGCUGAAGAAAAAUGAUGAUAUCUCCAGAUUUUUCAAUUUUGUCUUGUUUUAUAUGUUUAAUUUGCAAAAUUUCCCAUUUUGCCCUUGUUUCUCCUUGUCUUUUUGCUGAUUUUCUUACCC
This 2120-nucleotide long non-coding RNA is filed under the name Gossypium barbadense (sea-island cotton). Its description in RNAcentral is "long non-coding RNA (GBAR_LNC000869)". The record is from RNAcentral. Lineage: Eukaryota; Viridiplantae; Streptophyta; Magnoliopsida; Malvales; Malvaceae.